This is a non-coding RNA of Microcebus murinus (gray mouse lemur), 1341 nucleotides long. Lineage: Eukaryota; Metazoa; Chordata; Mammalia; Primates; Cheirogaleidae. The record is from RefSeq and is a predicted model, not a curated record.
CGGAUUCCCGAACGCCGGCUCCCCGCAGUCCCAGAAGGGCUCCAGGGCGGGUCGCGCGGGGCUGAGCGAGGCUGGCCGGAUCCUGGCCCUCGGGCCACUUGCGGAAGCCCGAGUCCAGAGCAGAGCGCGGGGAGGCCGGGGAGGCCGGGCGGCGCCGAGCCUUGGAGGCCGCGGCCGGGACUGGAGCGGGGAGGGCAGCCAGACACCUGCUGCCUGGCGCGGGUUACAAGACUCGGUCGGUGGCAAAGAAGACGACAGGUCGGGGCCGGAUUUAGAAGCGGAGCGCACGGGCCUGGCUGAUUUGGAGCGGGAAGGCAGGGAAAGAAGGAACCUGAGGGUGACGUCUCCCUGUUUCUGCCGAGAGGAACCAGCACCCCACUGAGGUCUGCUAGAUAUCUUACUGUUUCCUUCACAGUCAAGUUUCUUGAAAAUAGUCUUCAUUCUCAUUGCCUCACCUCCUGCUUGCCCCAGGUGGCGGGAGCCAUAACCCACAGGAGGUUCAGCUGAACACGGAGACUGGGUUGGGAAGUAGGCCGGUGGCUGGAGACCCUGGGACAGGCAGUGUGAGUGGAGGGGCGGAACAACAGCCUGGUUGGAGAGGAAUGAAGAACUAGACAUGCAGAAGCGGAGACAGCGAGUGGGAUUUUGCUUUAGAGCAGAGAAAUGAGGCAGAGGCUAACAGGGUAGGCCAGGUCCAGGGAGGUGUUUACAGCUUGUUUGUAGGUUGACAAGAGUGAUCCGGGAGGGAGGAGAAGUUAAUGAUGCAGUGGGGAGAGCAGAGUCACCGAGCAGAGGAGAGGGUAGGGGACCCAGUGCCCUGUGGGGAAGUGGCCCGAUGGAAGUCAGGAUGCCUGGUCCAAGGCAUGGGGGGGGUGUGGGAGGCAGAUAAUGCCUCCCCCAUGACCACAUCCCAGCUCCCAGAACCCUCGAGGAUGUUACUUUACAUGGUAAAAGAGAUUCUGCAAAUAUGACGGACUAAGUUAAGGAGCUUGGUUUGGGGAGAUUAUCCUGGAUUAUCCAGUUGGGCCCGAUGUAUUCACAAGGGUCCUUAAAGGCAGAAGGAAGGAGGAGGCAGAAGUGGGUCUGGGGAUACAGGAGGGCGGAUGAAGGGUCAGAGUGAUGCAACACUUUGAUGAAGGAGCUUUGAAGAUGGAGGAAGGGGCCAUUGUCCAAGGAACGUGGGUGGCCUCUGAAUCGAGGAAAGGCACAGAAAUGGAUUACCCUCAAGCUUCCAGAAAGGAAAGCAGCCCUGCCUGCCGGCACCUUGAUUGUAGCCCAGUGGAUCCUGUGUUGGACUUCUAACCUGCAAGAUAGUAAACGUUUGUGCGUUGUUUUAAGCCA